CGCUUCUGCGGGCAACUCCGGGCUGAGAAAUGAAUCACGCUCACAGAACCACUUGGCUUGGAAACUUCUGAGAUCAUUGAGUCCAACGUUCGACCUUACACCACCAUGUCAACCAGACCAUGACACUGAGUGCCAUGUCCAGUUUUUCCUUAAACACCUCCAGGAUGCUGACUCCACCCCUCUCUGGCAGUCCGUUCCAAUGUCUAAUCACCCUCUGUGUGAAGAAAUUCUUCCUAACGGCUAACCCAAACCUCCCCUAUCACAGCUCAAAACUGUGUCCUCUUCUGCCGCUGGUCGCCUGGGAGCAGAGUCUGAUCCCCACCUGGCACAACCUUCUGCCAGGGAACUAGAGAGAAUCAUAAGCUCCUCCAGGAACCUCCUUUUCUCCAGGCUAAGCAGCCCCCAUGCCCUCAGCCACUCCUCACAGGACACAUGCUCCAGACCCUUCCCCAGUUUCUUUGCCCUUCCCUGGACUAAUUCCAGCGCCUCAAUGUCCUUCCUGAAUUGAGGGACCCAGAACUGGACACAGCACUUGAGGUGUGGCCUCAGUACUACUCAGUGCAGAAGGACAUGAACUUCCGUGGUCCUGCUGGCCACACUAUUCCCGAGAUAGGCCAGGAUGCCAUUGGCCUUCUUGCCCACCUGGGCACACACUGUCUUGGGUGAGGGAAGGGGUGCCCACCUCCACAGUUCCUGUGCCCGAGGCUGCCAUCAGACUUCCACCAAGGUUUCCGGGGUCCCUCAAUGAGGGUGGGGAGCUGGGCUGCCUCCACCCUCCUCCUGCCAUGGCAUGGAUACGGAACAACCCUGGCAAGUAUGGCAAAAGGCCCAGCUUGCUGUCUGCUGAGACAUUUUGGGUCUGCCAUCAUCCACAGGGGCGAUGAGAUCCUCAAGGAAAUAACUGUUCACAAAGCAGUGUAAGGGUGAUGAGCUCAGAAAGUCAGUGACAGGUUGUGGAAUCACCAUCCCUGAAAGUGUGCACAAAAAUGAGUGGACGUGGCACUUAGCAAUAUGGUUCAGUGGGAAUGGUGCCAUUAGUUCAAAGCUUGGACUUGACAGUCUGGGAGGUCUUUUCUAAAAGUAAAUGAUCCUGUCUUGUUGCUGCUGGAUGAGAGGCUGAUGGUGUGGGUGGCAUGGUCCUUGCAGAGUACCACAGAUGAGAGGGCUUGUGGCAAUGUGCACAUUGCUCAUUUCACUGUUUGUUAGUUGGGUUUUUUCCUACACAGAGAAAAGGAGACAAAGAGAGCUUUAUUUCACAUCUGAAUCAAAUACUUCAGAGAAAAAGACCAUCCCUCCCAUUUUGCGGUGCCACAGGAAAAGCAGAGGCAUGGAGAGCUACAGCCAAAAUACUCUAUGGGAGUAAAUACUAGUUGUAUGUGGAUACCUUUGUGGCAGUUGUUAAAGAGCAGAGGUAUUUCCUUCUCAAAAUCCAGGAGUCCCAAUAUGUCAAUAUCAAUUUGAAAGGUAAUGAUGUUGGGUUUUUAAAAUCUGCUUUUUCUCUAUUUGUCAACUUAUAUUCUGUAGAUGUUCAUAGGAAAUGUAAAUUUUCUAUGUGGGUAGCCAUAUGAUGAAACAUCUCUGUGUUUAGGUGAUUAUUAACCGGACAGGUGCUGCAUUUGGAAGGUGCCUGCAUAUCUGUGUCUAAGAGGAUGUUGUCAUUUAAGAUGCUUUUGCAAUCUGUUUUUUCCUGCAAAAAUGUCUUAAAUGUGCUUGGGCUUUCCCAUCUCCAAGCAGCAGAAUGAAUAAAGAAACAGUAAGAUAUCAUAAAGAUAUAAAAGGAGACAGUUUUAUCACUGUGAGAGUAUUCCUAAUCGUACUUAACAAUUUAUGAAAUCAUAAAUCACAGAAUCACAGAUGGUGAGGUAAAACUUUGCAAUGCUUGAGGGCCUCUUAUUAUUCUAAGAGUGACUAAUGUGUAUAAACGCAUUAUUAUUUAAACAGAACAGUUCAUUGUGGUUGAAAUUAAGAUUUUAGUUGUAAAAGUGACUUCUUAUUAAGAUUUCUCAAUGUGAAAUGCCUUGCAGUAAAGGAAAAAAAAAAAAGAAAAUAUUACAUGUAAAUUAUUUUUCCUAAGCCUAUUAAACAAAUUGAAUCUCUGCAUAUAACCCUGCAUUUACCAACCAAUAGAUUGGGCUUGAAUUUGUAGCCAUAGUGCACAAUCCAGUUUUUGGUGCUUACAUGUCUCGCAAAUUGUAGAUUUUUUUUUUUAAUGAUCUUUUAAAGUAGUCUCUAAUUUCUCAACCAUAUUUCUCAAACGUAUUUCUCACUGCUGGGAAUAUUGGAUAAAUACUGGCAAACCAAUAAUAAUGAAAUCACUGGAAACUAAUGGAAAAGAAUGAUUUCACCAGUGUCAGUGCAGAAGAAUUCAGAAGAAGUUCCUGCAGUCUGGACUUUUGCUUCAGAGAGCCUGAAGAUUUGGUGAAUUUUUUUACCCUAGAUGAAAAUUUUCCUGUUAGUGCUAUGCCAAAUAUCUGCUGAUAUUCUGUGCAAGAUUUUAUUGUGUUUUUAAUAAUCAGAUUGAUAGCUAUGUUUUCAGUGACUACUUGGAUGAAAUAAAGAAUGAAGUUUUAGUGGUUCAGCAUGAUCUCUGCUUUUGAGUAAGGCUAAGGAGAUAUUUAACAUCAUUUUCUGACCUUUCUGAUGCUGGGCUUUACUACAGAACACAAGCAUGCUGCACAUCCACACUGAAGAGCAUGCAGUGGAAGUGAAGUCAUUUUCUGUCAUGAAUUUUCUGGUUCUGUGCUCUCAGCUGCAUACAUCACCUCCCUCCUUGCUGAUUCGCCUGCAGCUCCAUGUAAUCAGCUCAUGCAGUAUUUCAUAAAUCCCAUUUUCAGGCAUUUCCUGGCCUGUGCAUUCUGUUCCACAUCUGCACAUCUGCUCUUUCUCUGGAGACAUUGUCUUCUGCUGGGCUACAAACUUGCCAGUCGUUCAUCUAUUGUCUGAAUGCUUACCUGUCACAUCUGCAAGAGUCUUCUGACACCAGCACUCAUUGCUACCAUGCAGGACACAACACUGGGCAAAUAUUGCCUGCCCAGCAGCU
Long non-coding RNA from Vidua chalybeata, 3040 nucleotides. RefSeq lists it as uncharacterized. The record is from RefSeq and is a predicted model, not a curated record. The transcript is spliced from 3 exons. Lineage: Eukaryota; Metazoa; Chordata; Aves; Passeriformes; Viduidae.